UCUCCCCCUCCCUCCCUGCUGAAGUUGUUUCUCUCUGUCCACCAUAUGGGUUCUGGGUAUUGAACUCAGGUCAUUGAGCUUAACAGCAAGCUGCUGGAACAUGUUUGGAGAAGUUGAUAUUGGAUUUGUGGACAGUGUCCAAGGAGACCUCAAAUAAAGGGUUGGAAUGGGAGUUAAAAAUAGCAGAGUUUAAAAAGUCAUCUUCAUAGGGAUGAGGAGAGGGAGGUGUAAAUGAUAUGGAAGCCCUCUGGAGGAUGUCUUGGGGCAAAAGGUGUGAAAGCAGGAAAUAGACUUAAGCACCCUCGGAAACCUCUCUAGGUUGGACAAAGAGGAAAGUAGCAGCCCUCAGCAGCAUUCCAGAACUCCGUUUGGGGCUUAAUUUGGAUCCCAAGCAUCCCUCUCGAUUCUCCAUCCUCAGAUAUGAUGAGCCACCCUUUCCCUCCUGAUUUCAUUCCGGAAGCAGUUACCUCUCUCAUCUUCUCUAUUCCCAGAGUGAAAAUGUAGGAGAUGACGAUCCAUUCCUGAGUGGAAGGCCAGCGCUCCAUCUUCACUAACACAAUGUAAUUGAAGAGCAUCAGGUAUCCGAUAUAUGCCAGCUGCAAGAAAAUACAAGACAGGACUCUAACUGCAGAGGCCUGGGAGCCAUGCCCUGGGCAAGACCACUGCAUGGCAAUGCUGAGCAAGAUCAAGAUGUGGACUCUCUCAGCUGUUCCUGCCAUGAUGCCUUCACUCCAUCAUUGUGGACUCUCACCCUCUGAAGCCACAAGCCGAAUUAAAUGCUUUCUUCUAUAAAGAAGGCUUGGCCAUGGUGUUUUGUCACAGCUAUAGAAAAAUAACUAAGCUAGCUUCUCAAAGCAUGGUGUUUGAAGCAGUGUGGUCCAGGUUUCUGUGAUCAUUAGAGACACCUGGGGCUUUUGGUAAUGGCCUCCCCACUACUUCCACAGACUUGAUUCAGUUGGGUCCAUGAUCGAUCCUUGAAUUGGGGUUUCUAAUAAAUCCUUCUCUAUUGUGGGCAUUUAAAAAAUAGUGGGCUAAAACUCACUACUCUCUGUUCUGAGUGAGGGCCUUUUAACUCUAGCUGCUCAUGACAAUGACCUGGGGAGCUUUAAUGUAGUACCCAGAGGGAUGACAGAGGAGCUCUGAGGGUUGAGGCUAGGUGUGAGCAUGUUUUUAAAGUGUUCCAACAGAUGGACAAUGACACAUGCCUAUAAUCCCAGUCCUUGAUAGGUGGAGGCAAGGUAAUCAGGAGUUUGAGGAAAACUUGAGUGAGACCAUGGUUUAAAACAAACAAACAAACAAACAAACACCAAGCCAAAACCAAAAGUGUAAUGGGUGAUUCCAAUGAUCUUGAUCUGGAGGUGCCAAGGCUGAGAGACACUGGCCAGGGCACUUGCGAUGAAAAAGCAUUUGGGGCUGAAAAUUGCCUGAGUUGAGUCAACGGGGAGCAAGAGAA
Molecule: long non-coding RNA, 1453 nt
Organism: Peromyscus leucopus (white-footed mouse)
Lineage: Eukaryota; Metazoa; Chordata; Mammalia; Rodentia; Cricetidae
Exons: 2
Source: RefSeq, a predicted model, not a curated record